AUUGCUUUUCGGCCUUUUGGCUAAGAUCAAGUGUAGGAUUUAUUCUUCCCUAAACUAGAUUUCCCACAAAUCUAUUUUUUCCUAAAAUCAAUUUCCAGAAAAAAUUGAUUAGGCUUUCUGAAAGACAGAAUGAGUUUACGACUGUUCGUGUUUCUUCUAGUGUUUGAGUGAAGAAUGAGCAACCAACU
This is a small nuclear RNA of Lepus europaeus (European hare), 188 nucleotides long. RefSeq annotates it as U2 spliceosomal RNA. The transcript has a single exon. Lineage: Eukaryota; Metazoa; Chordata; Mammalia; Lagomorpha; Leporidae. The record is from RefSeq and is a predicted model, not a curated record.